Long non-coding RNA from Pseudophryne corroboree (corroboree frog), 877 nucleotides. RefSeq lists it as uncharacterized. Lineage: Eukaryota; Metazoa; Chordata; Amphibia; Anura; Myobatrachidae. The record is from RefSeq and is a predicted model, not a curated record. The transcript has 4 exons.
GAUCUCCCUCCCUUCUCUUCCCUCUCCCUCCGCUCCGCACGGGACCCGGACGGAUUUACUUGGGGGCUGUGGCGCCAGCCGUCUAUACUUAUACAGGGACCGCGCUGGUCAUAACAUAAACUGAGGUAACCCCCGGCUCCUCGGGCACAUGUCUUCUGGCGCGCUGCCGUUGCCGUGACAGCGUCCUAGCAGCCGCCGGGAGAGGAAGGAGCCCGGUCCUCAUGGUGUAACUGCUCUCCUGGGCCUGGCGGAUUACCUGAUCAGCGGGGGCACCUGCUGUGUAGUAGAUGAUCGUCUUUCAGCGCAGCAGCUCAUCUGGGCCGGAGAUGAACUCACUAGCAACGUACAGCAGGGAGAGAAGUCCUAGGAGCAGCAGCAUAGCGUUGAGCGAUGGCACGUGCUACUACAUGCAGCUGGCCACCCACAAGCACCUGGUCUGCAGCCUGCCUGAGCCCCUGGUCCUGAGGAGGAGUCCUGCCACGCAGUCCGGGAUUCCAGCAGCAGCACACAGCCGGCAUCAACACUACAGGGAGAGUGCUGCCCCCCUGGCCAGGGUGAAGUCACUCGCAGUAAAUCUCCCACGUGUGUAUCUGUAAGACCAGAUCGAUGUUUUGAUUCCAAUUGUUUCAGUGUUGAAAAGAAAGACUUCCAAAGAACGGAUCUCCUCGACAAUAACUGGAGGACACAGUGGUGCGGCGUGGUCGCAUGUGAUCUGACCAUGCCAGUUAAGUGGUUACUAAACAUAUAAAGUAUAUCAUUAGCAUUUGUCAUAUAUUAUAAUUUAUAUAUCAUAUAUUGUUAUAAAGGAUUACUAAAUGAUUUAUAGUUGAUGAAUAAUUUAAAUGAUGUAAUUCUUCUAUGUUUCAGAGAUUUUUUU